This 460-nucleotide ribosomal RNA is filed under the name uncultured bacterium. RNAcentral describes it as "partial 16S ribosomal RNA". It matches the Rfam family "Bacterial small subunit ribosomal RNA", at positions 338 to 795 of the family's 1533-position model. The record is from RNAcentral.
CCUACGGGUGGCGGCAGUGAGGAAUAUUGGUCAAUGGACGAGAGUCUGAACCAGCCAAGUAGCGUGAAGGAUGACUGCCCUAUGGGUUGUAAACUUCUUUUAUAUGGGAAUAAAAUGUUCCACGUGUGGGAUUUUGUAUGUACCAUAUGAAUAAGGAUCGGCUAACUCCGUGCCAGCAGCCGCGGUAAUACGGAGGAUCCGAGCGUUAUCCGGAUUUGUUGGGUUUAAAGGGAGCGUAGGUGGAUUGUUAAGUCAGUUGUGAAAGUUUGCGGCUCAACCGUAAAAUUGCAGUUGAAACUGGCAGUCUGGAGUACAGUAGAGGUAGGCGGAAUUCGUGGUGUAGCGGUGAAAUGCGUAGAUAUCACGAAGAACUCCGAUUGCGAAGGCAGCUCACUGGACUGCAACUGACACUGAGGCUCGAAAGUGUGGGUAUCAAACAGGAUUAGAUACCCCAGUAGUC